This 158-nucleotide ribosomal RNA is filed under the name uncultured Lachnum. RNAcentral's name for it is "5.8S ribosomal RNA". It matches the Rfam family "5.8S ribosomal RNA". From Rfam's summary of the family: 5.8S ribosomal RNA (5.8S rRNA) is a component of the large subunit of the eukaryotic ribosome. It is transcribed by RNA polymerase I as part of the 45S precursor that also contains 18S and 28S rRNA. Lineage: Eukaryota; Fungi; Ascomycota; Leotiomycetes; Helotiales; Hyaloscyphaceae. The record is from RNAcentral.
AAACUUUCAACAACGGAUCUCUUGGUUCUGGCAUCGAUGAAGAACGCAGCGAAAUGCGAUAAGUAAUGUGAAUUGCAGAAUUCAGUGAAUCAUCGAAUCUUUGAUCGCACAUUGCGCCCCUUGGUAUUCCGGGGGGCAUGCCUGUUCGAGCGUCAUUU